GAUUAGCAAAAGGGCAAAAAGAAUCUCAAAAAAAAUCCCAAUAAAAAAAAUAAUCAUCUAAGAGAUUAGCAAAAGGGCAAAAACAAUCCUGGACCUGCAUAUACACGAAGAGGUACCUUACUGCAUCCAUGAGGAACAUCAUUUCCACUUAUCCAGAUUAGAGAGAAAAUAAUAGUCAUCAAAGAGAUUAGCAAAAGGGCACAAACAAUCCCAAUGGACCUACUAGCAAAAGGGCAAAAACAAUCUCAAUGGACCUACAUAUACACGAAGAGGUACUCCCUACUGCAUCCAUGAGGAACAUCAUUUCCACUUAUACAGAUUCCCUACUGCAUCCAUCAGGAACAUCAUUUCCACUAAUCCAGAUUAGAGAGAGAAGAAAGGUCGGUCUUCUUAGAUGGCAUUCCAUGUGAGAGAAAGAGGAAAAGAGUCCCCCUUGCAAAUUCAGGUGAAGUGUUGUAUGUGAAGGAAGAGAAAAGGUUCCCUACAAGCUGCUGAAUGUCCACAUAGCAUGCAAGUUGAAUUUA
This 524-nucleotide long non-coding RNA is filed under the name Amborella trichopoda. RNAcentral's name for it is "long non-coding RNA (ATRI_LNC004253)". The record is from RNAcentral. Lineage: Eukaryota; Viridiplantae; Streptophyta; Magnoliopsida; Amborellales; Amborellaceae.